UUGGAGGGCAAGUCUGGUGCCAGCAGCCGCGGUAAUUCCAGCUCCAAUAGCGUAUAUUAAAGUUGUUGCAGUUAAAAAGCUCGUAGUUGAAUUUCGGGAUCAGUACGCCGGUCGUGCCUUCGGUAUGCACUGGUGUCACUGGUUUCUCCCUUCUGAAGAACCAUCAUGCCAUUCAGUUGGUGUGGCGGGGAAUCAGGACUGUUACUUUGAAAAAAUUAGAGUGUUUAAAGCAGGCUCGCGCUUGAAUACAUUAGCAUGGAAUAAUGAAAUAGGACGUUUGACCCUAUUUUGUUGGUUUCUAGGAUCGACGUAAUGAUUAAUAGGGAUAGUUGGGGGCAUUAGUAUUCAAUUGUCAGAGGUGAAAUUCUUGGAUUUAUUGAAGACUAACUACUGCGAAAGCAUUUGCCAAGGAUGUUUUCAUUAAUCAAGAACGAAAGUUAGGGGAUCGAAGACGAUCAGAUACCGUCGUAGUCUUAACCAUAAACUAUGCCGACUAGGGAUCGGACGGUGUUAUAUUUUGACCCGUUCGGCACCUUACGGGAAAC
This 545-nucleotide ribosomal RNA is filed under the name uncultured Glomus. Its description in RNAcentral is "SSU rRNA". It matches the Rfam family "Eukaryotic small subunit ribosomal RNA", at positions 548 to 1098 of the family's 1831-position model. The record is from RNAcentral. Lineage: Eukaryota; Fungi; Glomeromycota; Glomeromycetes; Glomerales; Glomeraceae.